CCUACGGGUGGCAGCAGUCGAGAAUCAUUCACAAUGGGGGAAACCCUGAUGGUGCGACACCGCGUGGGGGAAUGAAGUUCUUCGGAUUGUAAACCCCUGUCAUGUGGGAGCAAAUUAAAAAGAUAGUACCACAAUAGGAAGAGACGGCUAACUCUGUGCCAGCAGCCGCGGUAAUACAGAGGUCUCAAGCGUUGUUCGGAUUCACUGGGCGUAAAGCGUGCGUAGGCUGUUUCGUAAGUCGGGUGUGAAAGGCGCGGGCUCAACCCGCGGAUGGCACAUGAUACUGCGAGACUAGAGUAAUGGAGGGGGAACCGGAAUGCUCGGUGUAGCAGUGAAAUGCGUAGAUAUCGAGAGGAACACUCGUGGCGAAGGCGGGUUCCUGGACAUUAACUGACGCUGAAGCACGAAAGCGUGGGUAUCGAACAGGAUUAGAUACCCUUGUAGUC
RNAcentral lists this ribosomal RNA (446 nucleotides) under uncultured bacterium. Its description in RNAcentral is "partial 16S ribosomal RNA". It matches the Rfam family "Bacterial small subunit ribosomal RNA", at positions 338 to 795 of the family's 1533-position model. The record is from RNAcentral.